Molecule: small RNA, 49 nt
Filed under: Arabidopsis thaliana (thale cress)
Lineage: Eukaryota; Viridiplantae; Streptophyta; Magnoliopsida; Brassicales; Brassicaceae
Description: ATSL002120
Source: RNAcentral
UGGUUUCUUUUGUUUUCGUUUUGCAGAAGAAGAAGAAGAAGAAGAUGAA